CUCAGCGAAGUUGAAAUGUUUGUGAUGAUGCAAUCUACCCGCGGCUAGACGGAAAGACCCCGUGAACCUUUACUAUAGCUUUACACUGAACGUUGAGUUCGUCUGUGUAGGAUAGGUGGGAGGCUAUGAAACUGUGGCGCUAGCUGCAGUGGAGCCAACCUUGAAAUACCACCCUGUCGUGCUUGACGUUCUAACCUAGAUCCGUUAUCCGGAUCAGGGACCGUGUAUGGUGGGUAGUUUGACUGGGGCGGUCUCCUCCUAAAGUGUAACGGAGGAGUUCGAAGGUACGCUAGGUACGGUCGGACAUCGUGCUAAUAGUGCAAUGGCAUAAGCGUGCUUAACUGCGAGACCGACAAGUCGAGCAGGUACGAAAGUAGGACAUAGUGAUCCGGUGGUUCUGUAUGGAAGGGCCAUCGCUCAACGGAUAAAAGGUACUCUGGGGAUAACAGGCUGAUACCGCCCAAGAGUUCAUAUCGACGGCGGUGUUUGGCACCUCGAUGUCGGCUCAUCACAUCCUGGGGCUGUAGCCGGUCCCAAGGGUAUGGCUGUUCGCCAUUUAAAGUGGUACGUGAGCUGGGUUUAAAACGUCGUGAGACAGUUUGGUCCCUAUCUGCCGUGGGCGUUGGAAAUUUGAAGGGGGCUGCUCCUAGUACGAGAGGACCGGAGUGGACGAACCUCUGGUGUUCCGGUUGUCACGCCAGUGGCAUUGCCGGGUAGCUAUGUUCGGAAGCGAUAACCGCUGAAAGCAUCUAAGCGGGAAGCGCGCCUCAAGAUGAGACUUCCCGGGGCACAAGCCCCCUAAAGGAACCAUAUAGACUAUGUGGUUGAUAGGUC
This 834-nucleotide ribosomal RNA is filed under the name Mucochytrium quahogii. RNAcentral's name for it is "labyrinthulid quahog parasite QPX partial Bacterial large subunit ribosomal RNA". It matches the Rfam family "Bacterial large subunit ribosomal RNA", at positions 2032 to 2862 of the family's 2925-position model. Lineage: Eukaryota; Bigyra; Thraustochytrida; Thraustochytriidae. The record is from RNAcentral.